This is an RNA transcript of Cebus imitator (Panamanian white-faced capuchin), 1348 nucleotides long. It is a transcript of the gene named non-POU domain-containing octamer-binding protein-like, with no coding region annotated. The record is from RefSeq and is a predicted model, not a curated record. The transcript has a single exon. Lineage: Eukaryota; Metazoa; Chordata; Mammalia; Primates; Cebidae.
AUCACUCAGGAAGAAAUGAGGAAACUACUUCAGAAAUAUGGAAAGGUGUGUGAAGUCUUCAUUCAUAAGGAUAAAGGAUUUAGCUUUAUCCACUUGGAAACACAAACCCUAGAGGAGAUUGCCAAAGUGGGGCUGGACAAUAUGCCACUCCGAGGGAAGCAGCUGCGUGUUGCCUGCCAUAGUGCAUCCAUUACAGUUUGAAACCUUCCCCAGUAUGUGUCCAACAAACUGCUGAAGAAGCCUUUUCUGUGUUUGGCCAGGUGGAGAUGGCUGUAGUCAUCACUGUGGAUGAUUGAGGAAGGCCCUCGGGAAAAGGCAUUGUUGAGUUGUCAGGGAAGACAGCUGCUCAGAAAGCUCUGGACAGAUGCAGUGAAAGCUCCUUCCUGCUAAUCACAUUUCCUCAUCCUGUGACUGUGGAGCCAAUGGACCAGUUAGAUGAUGAAGAGGGACUUCUAGAGAAGCUGGUUAUAAAGAACCAGGAUUUUAAAGGAACAAGAGCAGUCACCCAGAUUUGCACAGCCUGGCUCCUUUGAGUAUGAGUAUGCCAUGCGCUGGAACGCACUCACUGAGAUGGAGAAGCAGCAGCAGGACCAAGUGGACUGCAACAUCAAGGAGGCUCCUGAAGCUGGAGAUGGAGAUGGAGAUUGCACGCCAUGAGCACCACGUCACGCUAAAGAGACAGGAUUUGAUGAGGCGUCAAGAAGAACUUCGGAGGAUGGAAGCGCUGCAUAACCAAGAGGUGCAAAAACGAAAGCAACUGGGGUACAGGCAGGAGGAAGAGCACAGGCGCGGUUAAGAAGAGAUACGGCGGCAGCAAGAAGAAAUGACGCAGCGACAGCGGGAAGGAUUCAAGGGAACCUUCCUGGAUGCGAGACAGCAGGAGAUUCGGAUGGGUCAGAUGGCUAUGGGAGGUGCUAUGAGCAUAAACAACAGAGGUGCCAUGCCCCCCGCUCCUGUGCCAUCUGGUACUCCAGCUCCUCCAGGACCUGCCCGCUAUGAUGCUGGAUGGAACCUUGGGAUUGACCCCACCAACAACUGAACGCUUUGGUCAGGCUGCUACAAUGGAAGGAAUUGGGGCCAUUGGUGGAACUCCUCCUGCAUUCAACCAGGCAGCUCCUGGAGCCGAUUUGGCUCCAAACAAACGUCGCUGAUACUAAUAAAGUUGCAGUGUCUAGUUUCUCAAAACGCUUAAAAGAAGGACCCUUUUUGGACGAGCCAGAAUUCUACCCUGGAAAAGCGUUAGGGAUUCUUUUCAAUAGUUAGAUCUACCCUGCCUGUACUAUAGGAAGUAUGCUGGAGGCAGAGGGCAAGGGAGGGGUGGUAUUAAACAAACCAAUUAUGUGUGGUA